This 289-nucleotide ribosomal RNA is filed under the name Auritidibacter ignavus. RNAcentral describes it as "partial 16S ribosomal RNA". It matches the Rfam family "Bacterial small subunit ribosomal RNA", at positions 1255 to 1533 of the family's 1533-position model. Lineage: Bacteria; Bacillati; Actinomycetota; Actinomycetes; Micrococcales; Micrococcaceae. The record is from RNAcentral.
CUGUGAGGUUGAGCUAAUCCCUUAAAGCUGGUCUCAGUUCGGAUUGGGGUCUGCAACUCGACCCCAUGAAGUCGGAGUCGCUAGUAAUCGCAGAUCAGCAAUGCUGCGGUGAAUACGUUCCCGGGCCUUGUACACACCGCCCGUCGAGUCACGAAAGUUGGUAACACCCGAAGCCGGUGGCCUAACCGUUGUGGGGGGAGCCGUCGAAGGUGGGACUGGCGAUUGGGACUAAGUCGUAACAAGGUAGCCGUACCGGAAGGUGCGGCUGGAUCACCUCCUUUCUAAGGAG